CCCUUAGAUGUUCUGGGCCGCACGCGCGCUACACUGAUGCAUUCAACGAGCCUAUCCUUGACCGACAGGUCCGGGUAAUCUUUGAAUCUGCAUCGUGACGGGGAUAGAUUAUUGCAAUUAUUAAUCUUCAACGAGGAAUGCCUAGUAGGCGCAAGUCAUCAGCUUGCGUCGAUUACGUCCCUGCCCUUUGUACACACCGCCCGUCGCUCCUACCGAUUGGGUGUGCUGGUGAAAUGUUCGGAUCGGCCGUUUGUCGCGGUUUCCGCGGCUCAUGGCUGAGAAGUUCAUUAAACCCUCCCACCUAGAGGAAGGAGAAGUCGUAACA
This 325-nucleotide ribosomal RNA is filed under the name uncultured eukaryote. Its description in RNAcentral is "partial 18S ribosomal RNA". It matches the Rfam family "Eukaryotic small subunit ribosomal RNA", at positions 1470 to 1796 of the family's 1831-position model. The record is from RNAcentral.